CCUACGGGCGGCAGCAGUGAGGAAUAUUGGUCAAUGGACGAGAGUCUGAACCAGCCAAGUAGCGUGCAGGAUGACUGCCCUAUGGGUUGUAAACUUCUUUUAUAUGGGAAUAAAACGUUCCACGUGUGGGAUUUUGUAUGUACCAUAUGAAUAAGGAUCGGCUAACUCCGUGCCAGCAGCCGCGGUAAUACGGAGGAUCCGAGCGUUAUCCGGAUUUAUUGGGUUUAAAGGGUGCGUAGGUGGAUUGUUAAGUCAGUUGUGAAAGUUUGCGGCUCAACCGUAAAAUUGCAGUUGAAACUGGCAGUCUUGAGUACAGUAGAGGUGGGCGGAAUGCGUGGUGUAGCGGUGAAAUGCUUAGAUAUCACGAAGAACUCCGAUUGCGAAGGCAGUUCACUGGACUGCAACUGACAUUGAGGCUCGAAAGUGUGGGUAUCAAACAGGAUUAGAUACCCCUGUAGUC
This 460-nucleotide ribosomal RNA is filed under the name uncultured bacterium. RNAcentral's name for it is "partial 16S ribosomal RNA". It matches the Rfam family "Bacterial small subunit ribosomal RNA", at positions 338 to 795 of the family's 1533-position model. The record is from RNAcentral.